This 466-nucleotide ribosomal RNA is filed under the name uncultured bacterium. RNAcentral describes it as "partial 16S ribosomal RNA". It matches the Rfam family "Bacterial small subunit ribosomal RNA", at positions 28 to 507 of the family's 1533-position model. The record is from RNAcentral.
GAUGAACGCUGGCGGCGUGCUUAACACAUGCAAGUCGAACGGAAAGGCCCAAGCUUGCUUGGGUGCUCGAGUGGCGAACGGGUGAGUAACACGUGGGUGAUCUGCCCUGCACUUUGGGAUAAGCCUGGGAAACUGGGUCUAAUACCGGAUAGGACCAUCGUUUAGUGUCGGUGGUGGAAAGUUUUUCGGUGUGGGAUGAGCUCGCGGCCUAUCAGCUUGUUGGUGGGGUAAUGGCCUACCAAGGCGUCGACGGGUAGCCGGCCUGAGAGGGUGUACGGCCACAUUGGGACUGAGAUACGGCCCAGACUCCGACGGGAGGCAGCAGUGGGGAAUAUUGCACAAUGGGCGCAAGCCUGAUGCAGCGACGCCGCGUGGGGGAUGACGGACUUCGGGUUGUAAACUCCUUUCGCCAAGGACGAAGCGUUUUGUGACGGUACUUGGAGAAGAAGCACCGGCUAACUACGUG